Molecule: unclassified non-coding RNA, 259 nt
Filed under: Glomus sp.
Lineage: Eukaryota; Fungi; Glomeromycota; Glomeromycetes; Glomerales; Glomeraceae
Description: partial contains 5.8S ribosomal RNA and internal transcribed spacer 2
Rfam family: 5.8S ribosomal RNA (bases 1-65)
Source: RNAcentral
GUGAAUCAUCAAAUCUUUGAACGCAAAUUGCACUCUCUUCUGAGAGUAUGCCUGUUUGAGGGUCAGCCUAAAAAAAAUCGACAUAGGGUCUGUUUCGCGGUGACAUUCGUGGGAGAUUGGGUCAUCUUAAACCUUUGGGGUGUUUAAGCGGCUUAAAAUUUUCUUUAGGAUUCCACGUACGUUGCGAAGAUUUUACUUCUUGCACACGUUUAAGGUAUCGAUCUUUAGUAGACGUGUCCGUUUCAUCGGAUAGCGUCCA